This 468-nucleotide ribosomal RNA is filed under the name uncultured bacterium. Its description in RNAcentral is "partial 16S ribosomal RNA". It matches the Rfam family "Bacterial small subunit ribosomal RNA", at positions 28 to 507 of the family's 1533-position model. The record is from RNAcentral.
GACGAACGCUGGCGGCGUGCUUAACACAUGCAAGUCGAACGGAAAGGCCCUGCUUUUGUGGGGUGCUCGAGUGGCGAACGGGUGAGUAACACGUGAGUAACCUGCCCUUGACUUUGGGAUAACUUCAGGAAACUGGGGCUAAUACCGGAUAGGAGCUCCUGCUGCAUGGUGGGGGUGGGAAAGUUUCGGCGGUUGGGGAUGGACUCGCGGCUUAUCAGCUUGUUGGUGGGGUAGUGGCAUACCAAGGCUUUGACGGGUAGCCGGCCUGAGAGGGUGACCGGCCACAAUAGGCCUGCGAGAGGGACCAGACUGCUACGGGAGGCAACAGGGGGGAAUAUUGCACAAUGGGCGGAAGCCUGAUGCAGCAACGCCGCGUGCGUGAAGACGUCCUUCUGGUGGAAAACCGCGUUGGCCGUUGACAAAGCGUGAGUGACGGUAAAGGGUAAAGAAACGCCGGCUAGCUACGUG